GCACAAGCGGUGGAUUAUGUGGUUUAAUUCGAUGAUACGCGAGGAACCUUACCAAGACUUAAAUGGGAAUUGAUCGGUUUAGAAAUAGACCUUCCUUCGGGCAAUUUUCAAGGUGUGCAUGGUUGUCGUCAGCUCGUGCCGUGAGGUGUUAGGUUAAGUCCUGCAACGAGCGCAACCCCUGUCACUAGUUGCCAUCAUUCAGUUGGGGACUCUAGUGAGACUGCCUACGCAAGUAGAGAGGAAGGUGGGGAUGACGUCAAAUCAUCACGGCCCUUACGUCUUGGGCCACACACGUAAUACAAUGGCCGGUACAGAGGGCAGCUACACAGCGAUGUGAUGCAAAUCUCGAAAGCCGGUCUCAGUUCGGAUUGGAGUCUGCAACUCGACUCUAUGAAGCUGGAAUCGCUAGUAAUCGCGCAUCAGCCAUGGCGCGGYGAAUACGUUCCCGGGCCUUGUACACACCGCCCGUCAAGCCAUGGAAGUCUGGGGUACCUGAAGUCGGUGACCGUAACAGGAGCUGCCUAGGGUAAAACAGGUAACUAGGGCUAAGUCGUAACAA
This 559-nucleotide ribosomal RNA is filed under the name Candidatus Chryseobacterium massiliense. RNAcentral describes it as "bacterial SSU rRNA". It matches the Rfam family "Bacterial small subunit ribosomal RNA", at positions 923 to 1494 of the family's 1533-position model. Lineage: Bacteria; Pseudomonadati; Bacteroidota; Flavobacteriia; Flavobacteriales; Weeksellaceae. The record is from RNAcentral.